This 723-nucleotide long non-coding RNA is filed under the name Pogona vitticeps (central bearded dragon). Its description in RNAcentral is "lncRNA (ENSPVIG00000020795.1)". The record is from RNAcentral. Lineage: Eukaryota; Metazoa; Chordata; Lepidosauria; Squamata; Agamidae.
ACUGCAUCAUAAUGCGCUGGCGGGUGAAGCAACGAUGUCACACACCAGCUAAACUGAAGGUUUACACUCAGUAAUGUGCAAAUUCAGCUCCCUGAUUGAACAUCUAGCAAAAAGAGAAGGGGGCAAAAAAAAAAUCAAUGGAGCACCUAAAUGGACGAGACCCUGUGUGAAGCAGUCAAGACAGAAUCACCGGAAGACAGUGGCAAUGAGGGAAAAGAAGGCUAUCGUGAGGAUGAAAUGGACUCCAGCCCUGAUCCUUCCAAUGGCAUGGAGGUCGAACAGCCUGAACCAACUGCCUCAAAGGAAGGGGCUCCCGCUCGAGAAACGGCCCAGAGAACAUUUCUAGAUUUUGUUUUUGGAGAUCUUCCUCCAAAGUCACUGAUCAAGAUCAAACCCUUCUUUCCAAAACCACCACUACCUCAGCGAAGACCACAAACAAAGCCGCCGUUCUUUGUCACUGAAACUUGUGACACUCCUGAAAACAGAAGACAGGAACCCAUCACAGAUGCUCUGAAAAACACAGAGAAGAAAGACCAUCUGAAGAAACAUUUUGUUCGGAUCGGGGGCAUGUUGGUUUUGCCAGUACCUGUAGAUGGUCCACUCUUCACCGAUGAGGAAAAAUGAAUGUGGACCAUGGGAUUGCAGAGGAGAGCAAGAUCUCGCAGCUGGAAACGUGCUACUAUGUUUUAGAUAAUAAAGUCACAGACUGGCGAUGACUCUCCA